GGGCUGCGUCUUCGGAUGUGGUGGGCGCGUUCAACACGGUGUGUCGCAUUUUAAAUUUCUGGGAGGAUUGACAGACUGAGGCCUUCGGGGCCCAGUGCGGUUACGCAAACCAGCUCGGAGACGCCAAUGCGAGCCCCGGGAGGUGUUUUCUUUUCUCUGUAAGGUGAUCGAGUCCCUGGAAUGGGUUCGCCCCGAGAUAGGGAUGGUGGCUCCGUAGAGCAGUGCGGCUCUUGCGCUGUCCGGUGCGCUCGCGUCGGCCAUUGAAAAUCCAAGUGAAGGAGUGUGAUUUCCAUGCCGAAUCGUACCCACAUCCGCAGCAGG
This 321-nucleotide ribosomal RNA is filed under the name Ixodes scapularis (black-legged tick). Its description in RNAcentral is "eukaryotic large subunit ribosomal RNA". It matches the Rfam family "Eukaryotic large subunit ribosomal RNA", at positions 1600 to 1863 of the family's 3401-position model. Lineage: Eukaryota; Metazoa; Arthropoda; Arachnida; Ixodida; Ixodidae. The record is from RNAcentral.